Molecule: long non-coding RNA, 1701 nt
Organism: Stegodyphus dumicola
Lineage: Eukaryota; Metazoa; Arthropoda; Arachnida; Araneae; Eresidae
Source: RefSeq, a predicted model, not a curated record
UCUCGACUUGAGAAAUCAUUACUCUUGUUUUAUUUCUAAGCGCUUUGGUGUUCUACGUUACGAGAGUAAAAUGGCUGACGCAUAUCUCAAAACCUUCAGAAAUACCAUUCUACUCGGUGUCCUUGUUCUACAGAUUUCCUUCAUCACUGUUACAUGUUGUCCAGGAAUCUCAAAUGCCCGUGGAAAUAUUACAGAAGAUUUUAUAGUGCAGUUUGGCUCACCGAUAAGAAUCCGCUGCUCGUUAUUUUCAACUCAAAUCGUAGUGGACGGUUCAACUCGCAAUGUGUCUUCUGAAGAUUUGCUAAUUAAAUUUAGAGGAACUUUUCUGUCCGACACUUACAAUAUAGACGAGCGCACUAUAGAGUAUUUUAAAUAUGGAGCCACUCUGUAUGACCAAGGGCCUUAUUUCUGUUAUGUGAAAGCUCGAAACGUCAAACGUCUGCUGUUUGUAUGUUCUACAAGUGUCGCUGUCGUUUAUCAUAGAGGUCAUAAGUAUGGAACACAAUGGCGGCGAUAGUCGAGAAUUCAGGAAGCUCAUCUGUAGGUUGAUGGCUCAUUCCAGUCCUGCAUAAACGUGACAUCAUUUCUACGACACUGCAAGUACUUCAUUUCAAGGAAGAUAACCUAUUGCAUUACCUGGAAGGCGUGCGAGAAUGUGUGAAAGACUGAUAUCAAGUCCUUCCAAGAUGUUUUGCUGAGUUAUUUAACAUUUGGCAGUCAUCUCAACUGCUUGAUAGUGCGAAUUUUAUGUUAAUUUCUAUAUUAGUUAUAGGGCGAUGUGAAAUAUGAGAAUCGAAGCAUUCAUGAUGCGCACUUACGGCAUCUACGGAUUCCGAUAAAUUCACAUUUUGAAUUUGACGGUUCCUCACCCUAUAACUUUGAACGUGCAUUGUCUGCGUAUCCAAGUCUUGUAAUUUUGUACCUCUGCAGCUUUCAGUGAUAUGUUAAUGUGUUGAUGUUAGAAUGAAAUGUGUAUUUACAUAUGCAUGAAUGACUACUGUAAUCGUUAAGACAAAAUCCUUGUUUGAUUGCUUUGUAAUCGUAUUGAAAUGUUUUGCACUGCAGAUUAGAUUAUUUUAGUGUUUAACCCAGUUCUGUAAAUAUUAGUUUGAUGUAUGAAUAAUAAUUUGAUAUAAAUGAAAUGUGUAUUUACUUAUGCAUGAAUGACUACUGUAAUCGUUAAGACAAAAUCCUUGUUUGAUUGCUUUGUAAUCGUAUUGAAUGUUUUGCACUGCAGAUUAAAUUAUUUUAGUGUUUUUAACCCAGUUCUGUAAAUAUUAGUUUUUAUGACGUAGAACUUUUUACCAGUAACGGGUACUUUUAAAACUAGUGGGAUUGUUUUAGUAGAGUUUAAUGAUAUAUUUAUUCAUUCCAUUCGGAUAACUUUGAACUUUUAGGUAUACUGUAAUUAUAACAUUUGUAGCAGACAUUUUUAUCGGGGUUCAGUAUUUUGUCACUUAAUGGAUGUUGAAACAGUACAGCUGUGACGUAUAUAUUAUCUUUUACUGUUGUAAUAGAAAGCAUUCCUUCCAUAGAAGUUCUUAUUAGUUUUUAUACUGUAUCAUCAGACUUGUGCAUUUUAAACGAAUUAUAAAGAAUUUGUUGCCUUGUUUUUAUCUCUUCAGAUAAGUUUUCAAAAUGGAAAUGUCAUCGUAGUAUGUGUAUAUAUAAAAUCUAAUAAAUUAUAACUAUUGUAUUGUA